This 356-nucleotide transfer-messenger RNA is filed under the name Aeribacillus alveayuensis. It matches the Rfam family "transfer-messenger RNA". From Rfam's summary of the family: Bacterial tmRNA, also known as 10Sa RNA or SsrA, is named for its dual tRNA and mRNA-like properties. Its role is to liberate the mRNA from a stalled ribosome. Lineage: Bacteria; Bacillati; Bacillota; Bacilli; Caryophanales; Bacillaceae. The record is from RNAcentral.
GGGGACGUUACGGAUUCGACAGGGAUAGAUCGAGCUUAAGCUGCGAGCCGGAGGGAUCGUCUUCGUCAAAAACGUCGCCUAAAUAUAACUGGCAAAGAAAACAAUUACGCUUUAGCUGCUUAAUAUAGCUAAAGGCUCCUUGCUUUCAUCGCCCAUGUGGAAGUAUAGGGGUUCAAAUGAAGUGGGCUACGCCCAAAUCCGCCGUCUGAGGAUGAGGGAAGAGAUUCAUCAGACUAGCUGCCUGGACGCCUGUCGGUAGGCAUAAGGGACAGCGAAUCAAAAAUUACCGACUACGCUCGUAGAUGCUUAAGUGGCGAUAUUUCUGGACGUGGGUUCGACUCCCACCGUCUCCACUU